CGCGUAGGUGGUUCUGUAAGUCGGAUGUGAAAGCCCAGGGCUUAACCUUGGAAUUGCAUCCGAUACUGCAUGACUAGAGUAUGGUAGAGGGAAGUGGAAUUUCCGGUGUAGCGGUGAAAUGCGUAGAUAUCGGAAGGAACACCAGUGGCGAAGGCGACUUCCUGGGCCAAUACUGACACUGAGGUGCGAAAGCGUGGGGAGCAAACA
This 207-nucleotide ribosomal RNA is filed under the name uncultured bacterium. RNAcentral describes it as "partial 16S ribosomal RNA". It matches the Rfam family "Bacterial small subunit ribosomal RNA", at positions 568 to 774 of the family's 1533-position model. The record is from RNAcentral.